GAUAAACCAGUAUUCUGGACUAAGCCAACCUGGGAGACCCUAGGAGGCCUGUUUGAGAAAGUGACAUUUAAAUUGAGACUUGGCGGUGGCUGUGGCUACAUAUCUAAUUGCAAACUCCUAGAGAAGGGCUCAACAGUGAGUGCUGAGGCUGCACAGAGGAGGAAGGCAGCACAAUGAUGGAAGGCUUCCUAAAGAGAUAACACUAACAAAGUUGACCUUAGAAUUGGAGUGCCUGGGUUAGAACCCUGCUGGUACCACCUGCUUACUGCAUGCUUCUGAUGUGAGUUCAGGAGAAGACACUGGCAAGGACAGCAAAGAACAGGAGAACACUCUAGCUUCCCUGAUAGCAUUCAAGGUGCUGUCCAAACUGACUGUGAUGGCACCCUCCAGACAGACAGCGAUGCCACAUGUUCAAGAUGGCAGAAUCACUAUCAGCUUCAAUUCCUGAAUGACUGCAGAGCAAAAUUUCUUACCCGCAACAUACACUCUAUUUUCAGCCUCCCUGGACUGUUACAUAAUGAUACAUAAAAAUAUUUCUUGUGUUGAGGCAUCCCAAAUUUGAUCUAUUUGUCAUCACAGUCUAUCCUCUGAAUAUAUUUCUGAUCCAAAUAAUGCUAGAUUCAUGCGAGUUUAUAGUCCAGAGAUUUUUUUUUUUUUUUUUUUUUGAGACAGAAUCUCACUGUCUCCCAGGCCGGGGUGCAGUGGCAUAAUCUUAGCUCACUGCAACCUCCACCUCCUGGGCUCAAGUGAUCCUCCCUCCUUAGCCUCCAUGAGUAGCUGGGACCACAGGUGUGCACCACCACACCCCGCUAAUUAUUUUGUAUUUUUUGCAGAGGGGGGUUUCACCACAUUGCCCAAGCUGGUCUCAAACUCCUAGACUUAAGGGAUCUGCCCGCCUUGGCCUCCCAAAAUGCUGAAAUUACACUUGUUAGCCAUAGUAAUAGUUCCUAGCCACAGUCCGGAGAUAUUUUAAAAACUUUAGUGUGAGUUAUUUCUCUUUGCUGUAAUUCUCUCAUGCAUUUUGAAAACCUUUUCUGCCAUACAGUGGUUUUUGGGAAGUCCUUUUGGACAGACAUAUCACAGGAUGGAGAAACUAAAGA
This 1100-nucleotide long non-coding RNA is filed under the name Pan troglodytes (chimpanzee). RNAcentral describes it as "lincRNA". The record is from RNAcentral. Lineage: Eukaryota; Metazoa; Chordata; Mammalia; Primates; Hominidae.